Molecule: unclassified non-coding RNA, 519 nt
Filed under: uncultured Paraglomus
Lineage: Eukaryota; Fungi; Glomeromycota; Glomeromycetes; Paraglomerales; Paraglomeraceae
Description: bacterial SSU rRNA
Rfam family: Eukaryotic small subunit ribosomal RNA
Source: RNAcentral
AGCAGCCGCGGUAAUUCCAGCUCCAAUAGCGUAUAUUAAAGUUGUUGCAGUUAAAAAGCUCGUAGUUGAACUUCAGGCCUGUCCAGACGGUCCGCCUUAAUUGGUGUGUACUGUCCUUGGGUGGGUCCUACCUUCUGGCGAAGCGGCAUGGCCUUAAUUGGUUGUGUCGGGGAACCAGGACUUUUACUGUGAAAAAAUUAGAGUGUUCAAAGCAGGCAAAUAUGCUCGAAUACAUUAGCAUGGAAUAAUGGAAUAGGACGAUGGUUCUAUUUUGUUGGUUCUAGGACCGUUGUAAUGAUUAAUAGGGAUAGUUGGGGGCAUUAGUAUUCAAUUGUCAGAGGUGAAAUUCUUGGAUUUAUUGAAGACUAACUACUGCGAAAGCAUUUGCCAAGGAUGUUUUCAUUAAUCAAGAACGAAAGUUAGGGGAUCGAAGACGAUCAGAUACCGCCGUAGUCUUAACCAUAAACUAUGCCGACUAGGAAUCGGGCGAUGUUGUACAAAUGACUCGCUCGGCACCUA